ACACUUACUUUCCCUAUGAUCAUAUUAUUUUGAAGCAUACCCCAGACCCAAUCAUUUCCCUCUUAACUAUUUCAAUACAGACAGGAGCACUGAACUUUCUUCUUUGUAAAAUUUGGAUGUUUAUGUCCUCAGCCCUCCCUUUUCUUCUAUCUUCUAACUCUCUGGACAAAAUUCUAACCAACAACAAUCCAAUCUUCUAACUCCACGCUGUGUAGACUGAGAUAACAGAUUCUUGGUUGCCAACCUCAGCCAGCCCAUAGCACUGGUCAGCAAUUGUUCUGACAAUUCUGAUACCUACCGUAAAGCCCUUAUACUAACAACUAUAUACUCAUCUGGCAUACAUUUAGGGAGUGUCUCACUUGGACUCAGGUGACACAGGGCACUCCCCUCCCCUCUCAUGGCUCCCAGGAAUGCAUGGGCACACCUCCAACACCGAGCUUCUAACGGAGGUGCCUGCUGUCCACUCACCAAUGUUCCCAGAUGGUGUGGAUGAGAUUACCCAGGGAAAAAGAGUCCAGAUGAAACCCAAG
RNAcentral lists this long non-coding RNA (530 nucleotides) under Pan troglodytes (chimpanzee). RNAcentral's name for it is "long non-coding RNA NONPTRT009101". The record is from RNAcentral. Lineage: Eukaryota; Metazoa; Chordata; Mammalia; Primates; Hominidae.